UCCCUGGAGGCCUAGUGGUUAGGCCACAGCGCUCUCGCCGCUGACAAGGGUUCGAUUCCUGGCCAGGAAA
Non-coding RNA from Pangasius djambal, 70 nucleotides. NCBI's taxonomy places the organism in Eukaryota, Metazoa, Chordata, Actinopteri, Siluriformes, Pangasiidae. The record is from the annotation of a GenBank genome assembly.